This 72-nucleotide transfer RNA is filed under the name Candidatus Pinguicoccus supinus. It matches the Rfam family "tRNA". Rfam says of the family: Transfer RNA (tRNA) molecules are approximately 80 nucleotides in length. Their secondary structure includes four short double-helical elements and three loops (D, anti-codon, and T loops). Lineage: Bacteria; Pseudomonadati; Verrucomicrobiota. The record is from Rfam by way of RNAcentral.
GCGGAUAUAGCUUAAUGGUAGAGUAUCACCUUGCCAAGGUGGGCGUUGGGGGUUCAAGUCCCCCUAUCCGCU